GCCGUGGUAGCUCAGUUGGUGAGAGCGUCGGAUUCAUAACCCGGAGGUCGGCGGUUCGAAUCCGCCCCACGGUA
RNAcentral lists this transfer RNA (74 nucleotides) under Fodinibius halophilus. It matches the Rfam family "tRNA". From Rfam's summary of the family: Transfer RNA (tRNA) molecules are approximately 80 nucleotides in length. The record is from Rfam by way of RNAcentral. Lineage: Bacteria; Pseudomonadati; Balneolota; Balneolia; Balneolales; Balneolaceae. RNAcentral also lists the same sequence under 4 other names.